This 253-nucleotide ribosomal RNA is filed under the name uncultured bacterium. Its description in RNAcentral is "partial 16S ribosomal RNA". It matches the Rfam family "Bacterial small subunit ribosomal RNA", at positions 524 to 776 of the family's 1533-position model. The record is from RNAcentral.
UACAGAGGGCCCAAGCGUUGUUCGGAUUCACUGGGCGUAAAGGGUGCGUAGGCGGUCGGGUAAGUCUGAUGUGAAAUCUCACAGCUUAACUGUGAAACUGCAUUGGAUACUAUUCGGCUUGAGAGUUGGAGGGAGGACUGGAAUUCUUGGUGUAGCAGUGAAAUGCGUAGAUAUCAAGAGGAACACCAGUGGCGAAGGCGAGUCCCUGGACAACUUCUGACGCUGAGGCACGAAAGCUAGGGGAGCAAACAGG